Gallus gallus (chicken) is the source of this 2934-nucleotide long non-coding RNA. The record is from Ensembl. NCBI's taxonomy places the organism in Eukaryota, Metazoa, Chordata, Aves, Galliformes, Phasianidae.
GGAGAGGAGAGGAGAGGAGAGGAGAGGAGAGGAGAGGAGAGGAGAGGAGAGGAGAGGAGAGGAGAGGAGAGGAGAGGAGAGGAGAGGAGAGGAGAGGAGAGGAGAGGAGAGGAGAGGAGAGGAGGAAGGUGAAGAUGAGAGGUGAGGAGGAAGAUGAGGAGGAAGGUAAAGAGGAAGGAGAGGAGGAAGACGAGGAAGGUGAGGAGAGGAGGGAGGUGAGGACGGAGGAGAGGAGGAAGGCUGGGAGGAAGAAGAGAAGGAAGGCAAGGAGGAAGGAGAGGAGGAAGAGGAGAGGAGGAAAGCAAGAAGGAAGGGGAGGAGGAAGACGAGGAGAGGAGAGGGGUGAGGAGGAAGAAGAGGAGAGGAGGAAGACAAGGAGGAAGGUGAAGAGGAAGGUGGAGGGGAAGGAGAGGAGGAAGGUGAGGAGAGGAGAGAAGUGAGGAGGAAGGAGAGGAGGAAGGCAAGGAGGAAGGGGAGGAGGAAGAAGAGAGGAGGAAGGCAAGGAGGAAGAUGAAGAGGUAGGUGAGGGCAGGAGAGAGGUGAGGAGGAAGAUGAGGAGGAAGAAGAGAAGGAAGAAGAGGACGGAGAAGAGGAGAGGAGGAAGACAAGGAGGAAGGUGAGGAGGAAGGUAAAGAGGAAGGAGAGGAGGAAGGAGAGGAGAGGAGAGAGGUGAGGAGGAAGAAGAGGAGGAAGGCAAGGAGGAAGGGGAGGAGGAAGAGGAGAAGAGGAAGGCAAGGAGGAAGAUGAAGAGGUAGAUGAGGGCAGGAGAGAGGUGAGGAGGAAGAUGAGGAGGAAGAAGAGAAGGAAGAAGAGGACGGAGAAGAGGAGAGGAGGAAGACAAGGAGGAAGGUGAGGAGGAAGGUAGAGGGGAAGGAGAGGAGGAGGAAGGAGAGGAAAGGAGGAAGGAGAGCAGGAAGGUGAAGGUGAGGAAGAUGAGUAGAGGAGGAAGAAGAGGAUGGAGAAGAGGAGAGGAGGAAGGUGAGAAGGAAGGGGAGGAGGAAGAUGAGAGGAGAGGGGUGAGGAGGAAGAAGAGGAGGAAGAUGAGGAGGGAGAAGAGGAGAGGAGGAAGGCAAGGAGGAAGGCGAAGAGGAAGGUGGAGGGGAAGGAGAGGAGGAAGGUGAGGACAGGAGAGAGGUGAGGAGGAAGGAGAGGAGGAAGACGACAAAGAUGAGGAGGAAGGAGAGGAGGGAGAAGAGGAGAGGAGGAAGGCAAGGAGGAAAGUGAGGAGGAAGGUGAGGAGGAGGAAGGUGAGGAGGAGGAAAGAGAGGACAGGAAAGGAGGAGAAAGGUGAGGAGAGGAGGAAGGAGAGGAGGAAGAUGAGGAGGAAGGAGAGGACGGAGAAGAGGAGAGGAGGAAGACAAGGAAGAAGGCAAAGAGGAAGGUAAAGAGCAAGGAGUGGAGGAAGAUGAGGAGGAAGAAGAGAAGGAAGACAAGGAGGAAGGAGAGGAGGAAGAUGAGGAGAGAGGUGAGGAGGAAGAUAAGGAGGAAGGAGAGGAGGAAGAUGAGGAGAGAGGUGAGGAGGAAGAAGAGGAGGAAGAAGGGAAGGAAGGAGAGGAGGAAGGUGAGGAUGAAGAUGAGGAGGGAGAUGAGGAAGGUGAGGAUAGGAGGGAGGUGAGGAGGAAGAUGAGGAGGAAGGAGAGGAGGGAGAAGAGGAGAGAAGGAAGGCAAGGAGGAAAGUGAGGAGGAAGGUGAGGAGGAGGAAGGAGAGGAGAGGAAAGGAGGAGAAAGGUAAGGAGAGGAGGAAGGAGAGGAGGAAGAUGAGGAGGAAGAAGAGAAGGAAGGCAAGGAGGAAGGAGAGGAGGAAGAUGAGGAGAGGAGAGAGGUGAGGAGGAAGGCAAGGAGGAAGAAGAGGAGGAAGAUGAGGAAGAAGAUGAGGAGGAAGAAGGAGAGGGGAGGAAAGGAGGAGGGAGGUGAGGAGAGGAGAGGAGGAAGGAGAGGAGGAAGAUGAGGAGGGAGAAGAGGAGAGGAGGAAGAUGAGGAGGAAGGCGAAGAAGAAAGUAGAGGGGAAGGAGAGGAGGGAGGUGAGGAGAGAGGUGAGGAGGAAGAAGGGGAGGAAGAAGAGAAGGAAGGAGAGGAGGAAGAUGAGGAGAGAGGUGAGGAGGAAGAUGAGGAGGAAGAAGAGAAGGAAGAGGAGGAAGAAGAGGAGAGAGGUGAGGAGGAAGAUGAGGAGGAAGAAGAGAAGGAAGAGGAGGAAGAAGAGGAGGAAGAAGAGGAGGAGGAAGAAGCAGAGGGGAGUAAAGGAGGAGAAAGGUGAGGAGAGGGGGAGGGAGAGGAGGAAGAUGAGGAGGAAGGCGAAGAGGAAAGUGGGAAGGAGAGGAAGAAGGCGAGGAGGAAGAAGAGGAGGAAGAAGAGAAGGAAGGAGAGGAGGGAGAUGAGGAGGGAGAUGAGGAAGGUGAGGAGAGGAGGGAGGUGAGGAGGAAGAAGAGGAGGAAGACGAGGAGGAAGGAGAGGAGGGAGAAGAGGAGAGGAGGAAGGCAAGGAGGAAAGUGAGGAGGAAGGUGAGGAGGAGGAAGGAGAGGAGAGGAAAGGAGGAGAAAGGUGAGGAGAGGAGGAAGGAGAGGAGGAAGGUGAGGAAGAAGAGAAGGAAGGCAAGGAGGAAGGAGAGGAGGAAGAUGAGGAGAGAGCUGAGGAGGAAGAUGAGGAGGAAGAAGAGAAGGAAGGAGAGGAGGAAGGAGAGGAUGAAGAUGAGGAGGGAGAUGAGGAAGGUGAGGAGAGGAGGGAGGUGAGGAGGAAGAAGAGGAGGAAGACGAGGAGGAAGGAGAGGAGGGAGAAGAGGAGAGGAGGAAGGCAAGGAGGAAAGUGAGGAGGAAGAUGAGGAGGAAGGAGAGGCGGAAGUCACACUGUGCCACCUUCCCUGAGCCGACCUUCCGUGCAGCAGCGCUUCGCCCCCUCCCUGGGAAAGACCCCACGGUGUCUCCAACCCCAUAACCUCCA